UACAUGGGGUGCAAACGUUGCUCGGAAUUAUUGGGCGUAAAGCGCACGUAGGCGGUUCGUUAAGUCGGAUGUGAAAGCCCUCGGCUCAACUGAGGAAGUGCACCCGAAACUAGCGAGCUUGAGUACUAAAGAGGGUCGCGGAAUUCCCGGUGUAGAGGUGAAAUUCGUAGAUAUCGGGAGGAACACCGGUGGCGAAGGCGGCGACCUGGGUAGAUACUGACGCUGAGGUGCGAAAGCGUGGGGAGCAAACAGG
RNAcentral lists this ribosomal RNA (253 nucleotides) under uncultured bacterium. Its description in RNAcentral is "partial 16S ribosomal RNA". It matches the Rfam family "Bacterial small subunit ribosomal RNA", at positions 524 to 776 of the family's 1533-position model. The record is from RNAcentral.